AUGUUUUCCAGGGUAAUUUUCAAGUUCUGAAGAAAAUACCCAACACAACCAAAAGUUGAAGCAUUCAAAAUGUUUUGGACUCAGCAACUAAAGAAAUAAGGAAGUAGCUUCAAAAGAUAGCCAUCAGUUCCGGAGUCUAUUCAAGGAUGAACAAUCUAUGAAUCCAGCCAUGUCCCCUAAAGGGUGAGAUCCCCCCUGGAGUCCUUUUCUCAGAGCAAUGGACAUUGAAUACAACACUGGGUAAAGCAUCUGAAUUUCUUUUCAGUCCUUUGCUUUCAGCUGUUCACAGGAGCAGUGAGUAGUGCUGAACACAGUCCAACUCUGGUUGUUUCUCUUUUGCAGUGGAAAAGAUCAUAUUUUAGCUCAGAUGAAAGCAAGCUGAAUGACUUCUUUUCCUGGAAAGCAUAUGUUUAUGCUCCCUAUUUUUUACAAGAACCAGGCAGUGUAAAUUCCAUUUAUUAAAACAUGAAUUUAGCACAUUGGCAACAGAGUGGCAAUAUUUAUUCUUACUAAACUCAAAAUUAUCUUGGAUGGUAAAAGAGAUCCUUAAUUAUACAUAGAUGCAAGACAAUAGAGCAUAACAUUUAAUUUUUUUAUGCAUCCCAAGAGCAAAAGCAAGGCUUCAUGCAUGCUUUUGCUAAACAAAAUUAUAGGCUAAAACUUUUGAGUGUUCCUGCACUUUCCAUUUCAUAUCCAUUGUGGCCUGCAGUAAGUAAAUCUCUUUUCCUUGAACAUAAAAACCCCUUCUGUAUGAGAAAUUUAAUGUCAUAAAUUGGCUCAGUUUCCUCUAUUGGCUCUAGGGAAAUGUCAGUCAUUUGAUAGGAAGAAGAGUCUUUCCCAAUUUGUUCAAGCCAUGAUUCUACAGUUCACUAGGAUUACAUCAGGACACAACCACAGAAUAGAGCAAAUACUGCUAGAAGUGGGCUGCCUGCCAUGGAGUCACCAUGGCUGUGGAAAAAAUAACCUCUAAUGCAAAAUAAAAGGGGCAGAAGGAAGGAAGAAAUGGCUGACAGCAGGACUGAGAGGCCAACCAUGCACCCUGGAAAAUUUCGAAGUAUUCUCAUCUCAACCACAAUUUGCCUACAUGAAGGGGAAACAGUCAGCCAUCUUGAUGUUGAUACAUGGAGAGAGUUAUUAAGAAAAGACGCACUGGUCUGGGAAGGACAUCUACAUUCUAUUCCAAUCUCUAACACUAAUCCACUCUGUGGCUGGACAGGUAUGUCCUUUAGGAGCAGCUAGCACUGUGGAUAGAGUGCUGGACCUGAAGACUUCCCUUCCUGACUUCAAAUUUGGCCUCAGACACUUACCAGCUGUGUGCCUGGGCAAAUCACUUAACCCUGUUUGCCUCAGUUCCUCAUCUGUGAAAUGAGCUGGAGAAGGAAAUGGCCAACCACCCCAAUAUAUACCGCCAAGAAACCCCCCAGUGGAGUUGUGAAGAGUCAGACACAACUGAAACAAGCGAGCAACAAUAUAGUUUGAAUCCGGAGAAACCAUGUCACUCUCAGU
RNAcentral lists this long non-coding RNA (1506 nucleotides) under Monodelphis domestica (gray short-tailed opossum). Its description in RNAcentral is "lncRNA (ENSMODG00000045951.1)". Lineage: Eukaryota; Metazoa; Chordata; Mammalia; Didelphimorphia; Didelphidae. The record is from RNAcentral.